Molecule: transfer RNA, 63 nt
Filed under: Bahadzia jaraguensis
Lineage: Eukaryota; Metazoa; Arthropoda; Malacostraca; Amphipoda; Hadziidae
Description: transfer RNA Leucine
Source: RNAcentral
ACCAUUUAGGCGGGAAUUAGCGCGCUAGGUUUAGGACUUUGAUGUGAUUAGGAUCAAAUGGUA